This 253-nucleotide ribosomal RNA is filed under the name uncultured bacterium. RNAcentral describes it as "partial 16S ribosomal RNA". It matches the Rfam family "Bacterial small subunit ribosomal RNA", at positions 524 to 776 of the family's 1533-position model. The record is from RNAcentral.
GACGAAGGGGGCUAGCGUUGUUCGGAAUUACUGGGCGUAAAGCGCGUGUAGGUGGUUGUCCAAGUUGGAUGUGAAAGCCUUGAGCUUAACUCAAGAAAUGCAUUCAGGACUGGAUGACUAGAGGACCGGAGAGGAUAGUGGAAUUCCCAGUGUAGUGGUGAAAUACGUAGAGAUUGGGAAGAACACCAGUGGCGAAGGCGGCUAUCUGGACGGUUUCUGACACUAAGACUCGAAAGCGUGGGGAGCAAACAGG